UAUCUUUAAUGUUUCCAAGCACCGAUAAUUUUUUAUUUGGUGUUUCUAUAGAAUAUUUUGGAAACUUGAGGUUACAUUGUUCCUAAAGCACAGCGAAAAAAUAGGUGAAUAUUUGAUUGGUUAAUUACCAGUGAUGGUUAUUUUCUGAUAUGCAAUGACAUGUUAUGUGAAAUUUUGUCUAUAAUACUGGACAGUAUACAAC
This 202-nucleotide long non-coding RNA is filed under the name Mytilus galloprovincialis (Mediterranean mussel). The record is from RNAcentral. Lineage: Eukaryota; Metazoa; Mollusca; Bivalvia; Mytilida; Mytilidae.